AUAAGCUGACGAGUCCCAAAUAGGACGAAACGCGCGUCCUGGAU
This 44-nucleotide non-coding RNA is filed under the name Schistosoma haematobium. Lineage: Eukaryota; Metazoa; Platyhelminthes; Trematoda; Strigeidida; Schistosomatidae. The record is from RNAcentral.